GGCCUAACACAUGCAAGUCGAGCGCAGCGGCGGGGCAACCCUGGCGGCGAGCGGCGGACGGGUGAGGAAUGCAGUCGGAAUCUACCUCGUUGGUGGGGAUAACCUCGGGAAACCGGGACUAAUACCGCAUACGACCGUACGGGUGAAAGUGGGGGACCUUCGGGCCUCACGCGAUGAGAUGAGCCGAUGCCGGAUUAGCUAGUUGGCGGGGUAAAGGCCCACCAAGGCGACGAUCCGUAGCUGGUCUGAGAGGAUGAUCAGCCACACUGGAACUGAGACACGGUCCAGACUCCUACGGGAGGCAGCAGUGGGGAAUAUUGGACAAUGGGCGCAAGCCUGAUCCAGCCAUGCCGCGUGUGUGAAGAAGGCCUUCGGGUUGUAAAGCACUUUUGUUGGGGAAGAAACCGGUCGGAUUAAUACUUCGGCUGAAUGACGGUACCCAAAGAAUAAGCACCGGCUAACUUCGUG
This 468-nucleotide ribosomal RNA is filed under the name uncultured bacterium. Its description in RNAcentral is "bacterial SSU rRNA". It matches the Rfam family "Bacterial small subunit ribosomal RNA", at positions 45 to 507 of the family's 1533-position model. The record is from RNAcentral.